UUGCGUCUCCGUUAAGAACCACCACGUCUCGACUGCCCAGUUUGAUCUGAAACACGUCGCCGUACUUCUGAGCCAUCCGACUGAAGUAAAAGUGAGGAAAACUGUAAAGUGUGGACUUGUGGUCUCCCUGUGAACAGACUCCCGACCCCCAGGCAUCCUUGUUACAUCAAAGAGCCAGACCAUGCUGAGACAGGCCCUGACACACACAUGCAACACUUUGCUGUGGUCCAGGUGUUUCCAGAGUCACACUGAAGGCAUCAAGGGCUAUUUGACCAAGAA
Molecule: long non-coding RNA, 279 nt
Organism: Carassius auratus (goldfish)
Lineage: Eukaryota; Metazoa; Chordata; Actinopteri; Cypriniformes; Cyprinidae
Exons: 3
Source: RefSeq, a predicted model, not a curated record